RNAcentral lists this long non-coding RNA (1293 nucleotides) under Oreochromis niloticus (Nile tilapia). RNAcentral describes it as "lncRNA (ENSONIG00000028530.1)". Lineage: Eukaryota; Metazoa; Chordata; Actinopteri; Cichliformes; Cichlidae. The record is from RNAcentral.
AAUAGUAACUAUUACUCAGUAAAAACAUGUAUGUGUUGUUUUAAUUAAAUCUAAGCAAAAUUAAACAUUUUUGAGAUGUUCAGUUAUUUAAAUUUACACAUUUUUGUUUGGGGUAAAUUAAGCAAUAGUUUGUUGAGCAGAUUUAACAAAAAUGUAUGAGUACCAUGAAAAAUUAAGAAAUCUAAUAGAUUUAACUAAUGAAAGCAUUUUCAUUUCAAUCAUUCUACACUUCCGCCCGUAGUCAGUUGUGCCAUGUGCAGGACACACACGCUUCAGCAGUGGAUGAUCUCCAUUUUGUCUGAGGUUGAACGAGAUAGAGCUCCAUGUAAUCACUGAUGACCAAAUCGAGAAGUUGGUUCUUCUAUCAGGGAUCCCACCAACAGUAGAGGAGCUGCAUAGUGUUGUAAAGGAUACCUUUGGGAUUUCAAACGACUUCAGUCUUCAGUAUUUUAAACCAAAAUUUCAGGACUACUUCACUAUUCGCAGAAGUGACCAGGAUCAGCUAAAGCUGUGCAUCACCCUGGUCAUCCUGCCAGUUUUCGGCAGCCCCUCUGAUCAACUGUCAACUGACUAUGACUCAUCAUCCAAUCCAGUUGUAUCCAGUGCAGACUCUGCUGCAACCACAUCUUCUCAGGACAAAAUUAUUCUCAAAAGGCAGAAGUUCACAGAACGUCGUGAGCCCUGGCCGAAGCUGUUCCCCAUUCCACAGUCUUCAUAUGAAACCGAAAUGUAACUGGAAAGAGCCACUGAGAGUAUGAAAAGAAUGGAAAUCUUCUGCCCACCUCCAAAGUAAAGACUGACAUUCUCGAGAAGUUGGCUGAAACUGUAUUUUCAAUUAUGGCCUAUUCUUCCUAUUAUUUUGGGGCAAGCACUAGUGAAGAAUUUCAGUGCAUACAAUCUAAAUCAAUCAGAAAAAUGUUAUAUUAUAAAUUUUGUAUACGUUUUAUAUUCCACAAUAAAAACAAUUACUGUUUGAAUGUUCUCUUUGUGAAAUUGAUUCAUUUUACUCAGAAAAGUAGUUAAAUUAAUUUGAUUUUCUCUUACUAUUCAGUCAUUAUUUAUAAAGUUUAAUUGGAAAAUUACUGAAUCCAAUUUGAGUUUUACUUAAAAACAAAAAGUUUUCAUUUCUUUGUAAUGGAUAUUUUAGUCAGUUUUUACUAAACCUUUGCCAGAUUGUUAGUAAAUUCAAAGUAAUUUUUCUCAGAGAUUCAUUUCAAAUUAAUACAUUUUUUGUUACAAUUAGGCAAUUUUAACCUUCAAUUUGAGAUUUUGUCCCUAAAUCCAACACAUAUU